CACCAGACUCCUACGGGAGGCAGCAGUGGGGAAUAUUGGACAAUGGGGGAAACCCUGAUCCAGCGACGCCGCGUGAGUGAAGAAGUAUUUCGGUACGUAAAGCUCUAUCAGCAGGAAAGAAAAUGACGGUACCUGACUAAGAAGCCCCGGCUAACUACGUGCCAGCAGCCGCGGUAAUACGUAGGGGGCAAGCGUUAUCCGGAUUUACUGGGUGUAAAGGGAGCGUAGACGGCAUAGCAAGUCUGAAGUGAAAGCCCGUGGCUCAACCGCGGAACUGCUUUGGAAACUGUGCAGCUAGAGUGCAGGAGAGGUAAGUGGAAUUCCUAGUGUAGCGGUGAAAUGCGUAGAUAUUAGGAGGAACACCGGUGGCGAAGGCGGCUUACUGGACCGUAACUGACGUUGAGGCUCGAAAGCGUGGGGAGCAAACAGGAUUAGAUACCCUGGUA
Molecule: ribosomal RNA, 446 nt
Filed under: uncultured bacterium
Lineage: Bacteria
Description: bacterial SSU rRNA
Rfam family: Bacterial small subunit ribosomal RNA
Source: RNAcentral